RNAcentral lists this ribosomal RNA (371 nucleotides) under uncultured organism. RNAcentral's name for it is "partial 16S ribosomal RNA". It matches the Rfam family "Bacterial small subunit ribosomal RNA", at positions 527 to 896 of the family's 1533-position model. The record is from RNAcentral.
GUAGGUGGCAAGCGUUGUCCGGAAUUAUUGGGCGUAAAGCGCGCGCAGGCGGUUCUUUAAGUCUGAUGUGAAAGCACGGCUCAACCGUGGAGGGUCAUUGGAAACUGGAGAACUUGAGUACAGAAGAGGAAAGCGGAAUUCCACGUGUAGCGGUGAAAUGCGUAGAGAUGUGGAGGAACACCAGUGGCGAAGGCGGCUUUCUGGUCUGUAACUGACGCUGAGGCGCGAAAGCGUGGGGAGCAAACAGGGAUUAGAUACCCUGGUAGUCCACGCCGUAAACGAUGAGUGCUAAGUGUUAGGGGGUUUCCGCCCCCUUAGUGCUGCAGCUAACGCAUUAAGCACUCCGCCUGGGGAGUACGGCCGCAAGGCUG